RNAcentral lists this ribosomal RNA (484 nucleotides) under uncultured bacterium. RNAcentral's name for it is "partial 16S ribosomal RNA". It matches the Rfam family "Bacterial small subunit ribosomal RNA", at positions 899 to 1397 of the family's 1533-position model. The record is from RNAcentral.
ACUCAAAUGAAUUGACGGGGACCCGCACAAGCGGUGGAGCGUGUUGUUUAAUUCGAUGGUAAGCGAAGAACCUUACCAAGGCUUGACAUCUUGGGAAUUUUGUCGAAAGACGAGAGUGCCUUCGGGAACCCAAAGACAGGUGUUGCAUGGCCGUCGUCAGCUCGUGUCGUGAGAUGUUUGGUUAAGUCCAUCAACGAGCGCAACCCCUAUGGUUAGUUGAAUUUUUCUAACCAGACUGCCCCGGUAACGGGGAGGAAGGGGGGGAUGAUGUCAGGUCAGUAUUACCCUUACGCCUUGGGCGACAAACGCGCUACAAUGGCCGGUACAAAGGGCUGCCAAGUCGCGAGACGGAGCAAAUCCCAUCAAAGCCGGUCCCAGUUCGGAUAGCAGGCUGAAACUCGCCUGCUUGAAGUCGGAAUCGCUAGUAAUCGCAGAUCAGAAUGCUGCGGUGAAUACGUUCCCGGGUCUUGUACACACCGCCCGU